UACAGAGGGGGCAAGCGUUGUUCGGAAUUACUGGGCGUAAAGGGCGCGUAGGCGGCCUGUUAAGUCGAACGUGAAAUCCCCGGGCUCAACCCGGGAACUGCGUCCGAUACUGGCAGGCUUGAAUCCGGGAGAGGGAUGCGGAAUUCCAGGUGUAGCGGUGAAAUGCGUAGAUAUCUGGAGGAACACCGGUGGCGAAGGCGGCAUCCUGGACCGGCAUUGACGCUGAGGCGCGAAAGCUAGGGGAGCGAACAGG
Molecule: ribosomal RNA, 253 nt
Filed under: uncultured bacterium
Lineage: Bacteria
Description: partial 16S ribosomal RNA
Rfam family: Bacterial small subunit ribosomal RNA
Source: RNAcentral